RNAcentral lists this transfer RNA (73 nucleotides) under Nemania diffusa. RNAcentral describes it as "tRNA-Val". It matches the Rfam family "tRNA". From Rfam's summary of the family: Transfer RNA (tRNA) molecules are approximately 80 nucleotides in length. Their secondary structure includes four short double-helical elements and three loops (D, anti-codon, and T loops). The record is from RNAcentral. Lineage: Eukaryota; Fungi; Ascomycota; Sordariomycetes; Xylariales; Xylariaceae.
AAGAAAUUAGCUCAAUGGUAGAGCGGCUGUUUUACACACAGAUUGUUGGGAGUUCGAAUCUCUUAUUUCUUAC